UGGCACUGAAGUUGGUAGGCAUAUUCUCCAAGUAUUAGUAGAUGAAGUUGUUUUGGACCUCUACAGUUCUAGCUAAAUUUGGAUGGAACUGUUUGUAGCUCCUCUUUUUGAGAGUUUGUAGUAAGCCUAUCAGUGUUCUCAUGUGAUACUCUGGCCUCAAUAAUUUCAAGCAAAGUAUUUUGUACAAAUCAUAUAUUCUGCAUCUUAUAUUCCUAUUUAUUCAUGAAUGAGCAUCUUAUAUUCCUCUUUUUGAGAGUUUGUAGUAAGCCUAUCAGUGUUCUCAUGUGAUAACUCUGGCCUCAAUAAUUUCAAGCAAAGUAUUUUGUACAAAUCAUAUAUUCUGCGUCUUAUAUUCCUAUUUAUUCAUGAAUGAGCAUUUAAGAACAGUACCAAUUGACAGGCACAAAAUGAAAAAUGGUUGAAAUGUAAGAACAAUUAGAAGG
Molecule: long non-coding RNA, 443 nt
Filed under: Solanum tuberosum (potato)
Lineage: Eukaryota; Viridiplantae; Streptophyta; Magnoliopsida; Solanales; Solanaceae
Description: long non-coding RNA (STUB_LNC003170)
Source: RNAcentral